Molecule: ribosomal RNA, 202 nt
Filed under: uncultured Lactobacillus sp.
Lineage: Bacteria; Bacillati; Bacillota; Bacilli; Lactobacillales; Lactobacillaceae
Description: partial 16S ribosomal RNA
Rfam family: Bacterial small subunit ribosomal RNA
Source: RNAcentral
UGCUAAUACCGGAUAAGAAAGCGGAUCGCAUGAUCAGCUUUUAAAAGGCGGCGUAAGCUGUCGCUAUGGGAUGGCCCCGCGGUGCAUUAGCUAGUUGGUAAGGUAAAGGCUUACCAAGGCGAUGAUGCAUAGCCGAGUUGAGAGACUGAUCGGCCACAUUGGGACUGAGACACGGCCCAAACUCCUACGGGAGGCAGCAGUG